UCCCAGGUGGCUUAGAUAGUAAAGAAUUUGCCUGCAAUGCAGGAGACCCAGGUUCGAUCCCUGGAUGGGGAA
This 72-nucleotide transfer RNA is filed under the name Capra hircus (goat). It matches the Rfam family "tRNA". Rfam says of the family: Transfer RNA (tRNA) molecules are approximately 80 nucleotides in length. Their secondary structure includes four short double-helical elements and three loops (D, anti-codon, and T loops). RNAcentral also lists the same sequence under 1 other name. Lineage: Eukaryota; Metazoa; Chordata; Mammalia; Artiodactyla; Bovidae. The record is from Rfam by way of RNAcentral.